Molecule: ribosomal RNA, 253 nt
Filed under: uncultured bacterium
Lineage: Bacteria
Description: partial 16S ribosomal RNA
Rfam family: Bacterial small subunit ribosomal RNA
Source: RNAcentral
UACGUAGGGGGCAAGCGUUAUCCGGAAUCACUGGGUGUAAAGGGUGCGUAGGCGGUUAUGCAAGUCAGAUGUGAAAUGUCGAGGCUCAACUUCGGAACUGCAUUUGAAACUGCGUGACUAGAGUACAGGAGAGGUAAGUGGAAUUCCUAGUGUAGCGGUGAAAUGCGUAGAUAUUAGGAAGAACACCAGUGGCGAAGGCGACUUACUGGACUGAAACUGACGCUGAGGAGCGAAAGCGUGGGGAGCGAACAGG